GAUGAACGCUGGCGGCGCGCCUAACACAUGCGAGUCGAACGAUUAAAGCACCUUCGGGUGUGUAUAAAGUGGCGAACGGCUGAGUAACACGUGGGCAACCUGCCCCUUUCAUUGGGAUAGCCACGGGAAACCGUGGAUAAUACCGAAUACUUCGAGACUUCCGCAUGGAAGACUCGAGAAAGCUCCGGCGGAGAGGGAUGGGCCCGCGGCCUGUUAGCUUGUUGGUGGGGUAACGGCCUACCAAGGCAAUGAUGGGUAGCUGGGUUGAGAGACCGACCAGCCAGAUUGGGACUGAGACACGGCCCAGACUCCUACGGGAGGCAGCAGUGGGGAAUCUUGCACAAUGGGCGAAAGCCUGAUGCAGCGACGCCGCGUGCGGGAUGAAGGCCUUCGGGUUGUAAACCGCCUUCAGCAGGGACGAGGCGAAAGUGACGGUACCUGCAGAAGAAGCCCCGGCUAACUACGUG
RNAcentral lists this ribosomal RNA (467 nucleotides) under uncultured bacterium. RNAcentral describes it as "partial 16S ribosomal RNA". It matches the Rfam family "Bacterial small subunit ribosomal RNA", at positions 28 to 507 of the family's 1533-position model. The record is from RNAcentral.